UACGUAGGCAGCAAGCGUUGUUCGGAAUUACUGGGCGUAAAGAGUGUGUAGGCGGUGUUCUAAGUCUGUUGCGAAAUCUCCCGGCUUAACUGGGAGGGUGCGGCGGAAACUGGAAUGCUAGAGGAUGGGAGAGGUAAGCGGAAUUCCUGGUGUAGCGGUGAAAUGCGUAGAUAUCAGGAGGAACACCUGUGGUGUAGACAGCUUACUGGACCAUUUCUGACGCUGAGACACGAAAGCGUGGGUAGCAAACAGG
RNAcentral lists this ribosomal RNA (253 nucleotides) under uncultured bacterium. Its description in RNAcentral is "partial 16S ribosomal RNA". It matches the Rfam family "Bacterial small subunit ribosomal RNA", at positions 524 to 776 of the family's 1533-position model. The record is from RNAcentral.